CGUGGGUAGCAAACAGGAUUAGAUACCCUGGUGGUCCACGCCGUAAACGAUGUCGACCAGCCGUUGGGUGCCUAGCGCACUUUGUGGCGAAGUUAACGCGAUAAGUCGACCGCCUGGGGAGUACGGCCGCAAGGUUAAAACUCAAAUGAAUUGACGGGGGCCGGCACAAGCGGUGGAGCAUGUGGUUUAAUUCGAUGCAACGCGAAGAACCUUACCUACUCUUGACAUCCUGCGAACUUGUGAGAGAUCACUUGGUGCCUUCGGGAGCGCAGAGACAGGUGCUGCAUGGCUGUCGUCAGCUCGUGUUGUGAAAUGUUGGGUUAAGUCCCGUAACGAGCGCAACCCUUGUCCUUAUUUGCCAGCGGGUAAUGCCGGGAACUCUAAGGAGACUGCCGGUGACAAACCGGAGGAAGGUGGGGACGACGUCAAGUCAUCAUGGCCCUUACGAGUAGGGCUACACACGUGCUACAAUGGCCGGUACAAAGGGUUGCGAGCUCGCGAGAGUCAGCUAAUCCCGAAAAGCCGGUCUCAGUCCGGAUCGGAGUCUGCAACUCGACUCCGUGAAGUCGGAAUCGCUAGUAAUCGUGAAUCAGAAUGUCACGGUGAAUACGUUCCCGGGCCUUGUACACACCGCCCGU
This 638-nucleotide ribosomal RNA is filed under the name uncultured bacterium. Its description in RNAcentral is "bacterial SSU rRNA". It matches the Rfam family "Bacterial small subunit ribosomal RNA", at positions 760 to 1397 of the family's 1533-position model. The record is from RNAcentral.